RNAcentral lists this ribosomal RNA (250 nucleotides) under uncultured prokaryote. Its description in RNAcentral is "partial 16S rRNA". It matches the Rfam family "Bacterial small subunit ribosomal RNA", at positions 525 to 775 of the family's 1533-position model. The record is from RNAcentral.
ACGUAGGGGGCUAGCGUUAUCCGGAAUUACUGGGCGUAAAGGGUGCGUAGGUGGUUUCUUAAGUCAGAGGUGAAAGGCUACGGCUCAACCGUAGUAAGGCUUUGAAACUGGUAAACUUGAGUUCAGGAGAGGAGAGUGGAAUUCCUAGUGUAGCGGUGAAAUGCGUAGAUAUUAGAAGGAACACCGAUUGCGAAGGCGGCUCUCUGGACUAUUACUGACGCUGAGGCACGAAAGCGUGGGGAGCAAACAG